AACGAACGCUGGCGGCAUGCCUAACACAUGCGAGUCGAACGAGACCUUCGGGUCUAGUGGCGCACGGGUGCGUAACGCGUGGGAACCUGCCCUUAGGUUCGGAAUAACUCCCCGAAAGGGGUGCUAAUACCGGAUAAUGUCUUCGGACCAAAGAUUUAUCGCCUGUGGAUGGGCCCGCGUUGGAUUAGCUGGUUGGUGGGGUAAAAGCCUACCAAGGCGACGAUCGGUAGCUGGUCUGAGAGGAUGAUCGGCCACACUGGGACUGAGAUACGGCCCAGACUCGUACGGGAGGCAGCAGGGGGGAAUAGUGCACAAUGGGCGGAAGCCGGAUGCAGCAACGCCGCGUGCGGGAGGACGGAAUGCGGGGUGUGAACCGCUUGCGCCGGGGAAGAAGCGUGAGGGACGGUAAUGGGUAAAGAAGCACCGGCUAACUACGUG
Molecule: ribosomal RNA, 438 nt
Filed under: uncultured bacterium
Lineage: Bacteria
Description: partial 16S ribosomal RNA
Rfam family: Bacterial small subunit ribosomal RNA
Source: RNAcentral